AGCGGCGGACGGGUGAGUAACGCGUGGGUAACCUGCCUCAUACAGGGGGAUAACAGUUGGAAACGGCUGCUAAUACCGCAUAAGCGCACAGUACCGCAUGGUACGGUGUGAAAAACUCCGGUGGUAUGAGAUGGACCCGCGUCUGAUUAGGUAGUUGGUGGGGUAACGGCCUACCAAGCCGACGAUCAGUAGCCGACCUGAGAGAGUGACCGGCCACAUUGGGACUGAGACACGGCCCAA
This 240-nucleotide ribosomal RNA is filed under the name uncultured bacterium. RNAcentral describes it as "partial 16S ribosomal RNA". It matches the Rfam family "Bacterial small subunit ribosomal RNA", at positions 94 to 334 of the family's 1533-position model. The record is from RNAcentral.